Molecule: ribosomal RNA, 465 nt
Filed under: uncultured Klebsiella sp.
Lineage: Bacteria; Pseudomonadati; Pseudomonadota; Gammaproteobacteria; Enterobacterales; Enterobacteriaceae
Description: bacterial SSU rRNA
Rfam family: Bacterial small subunit ribosomal RNA
Source: RNAcentral
CCUACGGGAGGCAGCAGUGGGGAAUAUUGCACAAUGGGCGCAAGCCUGAUGCAGCCAUGCCGCGUGUGUGAAGAAGGCCUCCGGGUUGUAAAGCACUUUCAGCGGGGAGGAAGGCGGUGAGGUUAAUAACCUCAUCGAUUGACGUUACCCGCAGAAGAAGCACCGGCUAACUCCGUGCCAGCAGCCGCGGUAAUACGGAGGGUGCAAGCGUUAAUCGGAAUUACUGGGCGUAAAGCGCACGCAGGCGGUCUGCCAAGUCGGAUGUGAAAUCCCCGGGCUCAACCUGGGAACUGCAUUCGAAACUGGCUGGCUAGAGUCUUGUAGAGGGGGGUAGAAUUCCAGGUGUAGCGGUGAAAUGCGUAGAGAUCUGGAGGAAUACCGGUGGCGAAGGCGGCCCCCUGGACAAAGACUGACGCUCAGGUGCGAAAGCGUGGGGAGCAAACAGGAUUAGAUACCCGUGUAGUC